RNAcentral lists this long non-coding RNA (304 nucleotides) under Mytilus galloprovincialis (Mediterranean mussel). Lineage: Eukaryota; Metazoa; Mollusca; Bivalvia; Mytilida; Mytilidae. The record is from RNAcentral.
GAAUACGACCUUUAACUCGUAAAAAAUGUAAAACAAAAGAUGACAUUGUAGUAAUUUAAAAAAAAAUGAAAUAGGAAAACAUUGUAAUAUAUACAAUGACAUACAAGUUGAAACUAUCUGACAAUUUUGGUGUUUAAGGUGUUUGAGGAAACAUAUAUAAUUUAGCAAAAAAAAAAAGCAGUGUAGGUCUUCAUGUAGGUCUUGACUAAUUAGACACGCCCUCAGAAAAUCAGCGGAUCCAUAAAAAGAUAGGACUAAAAAAAAACAGCCAUCAAAAUACCAUAAUUCAAAAUUGGGGAGGGGG